GGACCCGCACAAGCGGUGGAGUAUGUGGUUUAAUUCGAUGCAACGCGAAGAACCUUACCAGGGUUUGAAAUCAUUUCAAAACUCCUUGAAAGAGGAGCCUCCUUCGGGAUGAAAUGACAGGUGGUGCAUGGCUGUCGUCAGCUCGUGUUGUGAAAUGUCGAGUUAAGUCUCGUAACGAGCGCAACCCAUGUCUCUUGUUGCUCACUGAGUGCUUAAGAGAGACUGCCGACCAACAUCGGAGGAAGGUGUGGAUGAUGUCAAGUCAGCAUGCCCCUUACAUCCUGGGCUACACACGUACUACAAUGCUACGGACAAAGGGCUGCAAGUUCGCGAGGACAAGCAAAUCCCAUAAACCGUGGCUCAGUUCAGAUCGUAGGCUGCAACUCGCCUACGUGAAGGCGGAAUCGCUAGUAAUCGCAGGU
Molecule: ribosomal RNA, 422 nt
Filed under: uncultured bacterium
Lineage: Bacteria
Description: bacterial SSU rRNA
Rfam family: Bacterial small subunit ribosomal RNA
Source: RNAcentral